AUACGGAGGGUGCAAGCGUUGUUCGGAUUUACUGGGCGUAAAGGGCGUGUAGGCGGAUAUGCAAGCUGGAGGUGAAAGCCCCGGGCUCAACCCGGGAAUUGCUUUGUAGAACUGUAUGUCUAGAGAAAGUCAGAGGCAGGUGGAAUUCCAGGUGUAGAGGUGAAAUUCGUAGAGAUCUGGAGGAACACCGGCGGCGAAGGCGGCCUGCUGGGGCUUUUCUGACGCUGAGGCGCGAAAGCGUGGGGAGCAAACAGGAUUAGAAACCCCAGUAGUCC
Molecule: ribosomal RNA, 275 nt
Filed under: uncultured bacterium
Lineage: Bacteria
Description: partial 16S ribosomal RNA
Rfam family: Bacterial small subunit ribosomal RNA
Source: RNAcentral